GACGAACGCUGGCGGCGUGCUUAACACAUGCAAGUCGAACGCUGAAGCUCAGCUUUUGUUGGGUGGAUGAGUGGCGAACGGGUGAGUAACACGUGAGUAACCUGCCCCCUUCUUUGGGAUAACGCCCGGAAACGGGUGCUAAUACUGGAUAUUCACUGGUCUUCGCAUGGGGGUUGGUGGAAAGGGUUUUUCUGGUGGGGGAUGGGCUCGCGGCCUAUCAGCUUGUUGGUGGGGUGAUGGCCUACCAAGGCUUUGACGGGUAGCCGGCCUGAGAGGGUGACCGGCCACAUUGGGACUGAGAUACGGCCCAGACUCCUACGGGAGGCAGCAGUGGGGAAUAUUGCACAAUGGGCGCAAGCCUGAUGCAGCGACGCCGCGUGAGGGAUGGAGGCCUUCGGGUUGUGAACCUCCUUCGCUCAUGGUCAAGCCGCAACAAUGGUUGUGGUGAGGGUAGUGGGUAAAGAAGCGCCGGCUAACUACGUG
RNAcentral lists this ribosomal RNA (483 nucleotides) under uncultured bacterium. RNAcentral describes it as "partial 16S ribosomal RNA". It matches the Rfam family "Bacterial small subunit ribosomal RNA", at positions 28 to 507 of the family's 1533-position model. The record is from RNAcentral.